CCAUGGUUGUGAUGAUAAACACUUUCAACAAGCAUGCUAGUUCCGCUUCUGAAAAUUCAUGACUGAAAAACCUGUUAUACAAGAUCUGUUU
RNAcentral lists this small nucleolar RNA (91 nucleotides) under Triticum aestivum (bread wheat). The record is from RNAcentral. Lineage: Eukaryota; Viridiplantae; Streptophyta; Magnoliopsida; Poales; Poaceae. RNAcentral also lists the same sequence under 1 other name.